AGGGCGCAUGGCGGAUGCCUUGGCUCUCGGAGGCGAUGAAGGACGUGAUAAGCUGCGAUAAGCUUUGGGGAGGUGCAAAUGACCUUUGAUCCAGAGAUUUCCGAAUGGGACAACCCAAUAUCUUGAAGAGGUAUUAUCCAACGUUGUUGGAGGCUAACGCAGGGAACUGAAACAUCUUAGUACCUGCAGGAAAAGAAAAUAAACAAUGAUUCCCCCAGUAGUGGCGAGCGAACGGGGAACAGCCCAAACCAUCCAUGUUACGGCAUGGGUGGGGUUGUAGGACUACGCCGUUGCAUGAAGACAUCAGAGAAGAACUUUCUGGAAAGAAAGACCAUAGAGCAUGACAGUUGCGUAUUCGAAUGUUGUCGAAGCAUAGUAGUAUCCUGAGUAGCGCGGAGCACGAGGAAUUCUGCGUGAAUCUGCCGGGACCAUCCGGUAAGGCUAAAUACUCCCGAGAGACCGAUAGCGAACCAGUACCGUGAGGGAAAGGUGAAAAGCACUUCGAACAGAAGAGUGAAAUAGUUCCUGAAACCGUGCGCCUACAAGCGGUCGGAGCUCGUUAAUGAGUGACGGCGUGCCUUUUGCAUAAUGAACCUACGAGUUGCCUUUGCCGGCAAGGUUAAGUGUGACGACACACGUAUCCGAAGCGAAAGCGAGUCUGAACAGGGCGUAUAGUCGGCAGUGGCAGACGCGAAACCAAGUGAUCUACCCUUGGCCAGGUUGAAGGCUGGGUAACACCAGCUGGAGGACCGCACCAAUAAGCGUUGAAAAGCUUCUGGAUGAGCUGAGGGUAGGGGUGAAAGGCUAAUCAAACUUGGAGAUAGCUCGUACUCCCCGAAAUGCAUUUAGGUGCAGCCUUGCGGGUUACUGAUGUGAGGUAGAGCGACUGAUAAGAUGCGAGGGCUUCACCGCCUAUCAAGUCUUGACAAACUCCGAAUGCGCAUCAGUUCUACCGCAGGAGUGAGGGCAUGGGUGCUAAGGUCCGUGCCCGAGAGGAGAAGAAUCCGGACCACCUGCUAAGGUCCCGAAAUGACAGCUAAGUUAAACUAACGAAGUCUGACUGCUAAGACAGCUAGGAUGUUGGCUUGGAAGCAGCCAUUCAUUUAAAGAGUGCGUAACAGCUCACUAGUCGAGGAGUCGGGCGUGGAUAAUAAUCGGGUAUUAAGUUGUCUACCGAAGCAGUGGGAUCAUUAAUAUGAUCGGUAGGGGAGCAUUCCAGUCAGCGUCGAAGGCGUACCGUGAGGUAUUCUGGAGCGUCUGGAAAAGCAAAUGUAGGUAUAAGUAACGAUAAAGGGGGCGGGAAACCCCCUCGCCGAAAGACUAAGGUUUCCUGAUCAACGCUAAUCGGAUCAGGGUCAGUCGGGUCCUAAGGCUCAGCCGAACGGCGAUGCCGAUGGCAGAAACGGUUAAUAUUCCGUUACUACCUUCAGGAGUGACGUGGAGACGCAGUAGUGACAGUGCCGCCAUCUGACGGAAUAGAUGGUUGAAGGGUGUAGGAGUCGAUCAUGGCAGGCAAAUCCACCAUGAGAUCCGAACCUGACAGUAUGCCGCGUCCUUCGGGACAAGGCAAUAGUGCGCGUAAGCAUGCUGCCGAGAAAAUCCGCUAAACUUAAUCCUGCAGGUACCCGUACCGCAAACGGACACACGUAGUCGGGAUGAAUAUUCUAAGGCGCUUGAGUGAUUCACGGUUAAGGAACUAGGCAAACUGACCCUGUAACUUCGGGAUAAAGGGUCCCUACCCUUUUAUGGGAGGGCGCAGAGAAUCGGUCCAGGCAACUGUUUAACAAAAACACAGGGCUGUGCCAAAUCGAAAGAUCCAGUAUACAGCCUGACACCUGCCCGGUGCUGGAAGGUUAAGAGGAGAUGUCAUCGAUAAGAGAAGCGUUGAAUUGAAGCCCCAGUAAACGGCGGCCGUAACUAUAACGGUCCUAAGGUAGCGAAAUUCCUUGUCGGGUAAGUUCCGACCUGCACGAAUGGUGUAAUGAUCUGGACGCUGUCUCAACCGUGAGCUCAGUGAAAUUGUAGUAUCGGUGAAGAUGCCGAUUACCCGCGAUGGGACGAAAAGACCCCGUGAACCUUUACUAUAGCUUAUCAUUGAAUCUGGGCACGUGAUGUGUAGGAUAGGUCGGAGGCUUUGAAGCAGGUACGCCAGUAUUUGUGGAGCCGCUGUUGAAAUACGACCCUUUAUUUGUUUGGAUUCUAACCCGUGGAACGGGGACAUUGAUUGGUGGGUAGUUUGACUGGGGUGGUCGCCUCCAAAAGCGUAACGGAGGCUUCUAAAGGUGCCCUCCGGCCGAUUGGUAACCGGCCUUAGAGUGUAAUGGCAUAAGGGCGCUUGACUGGGAGACUGACAAGUCGAUCAGGUAGGAAACUAGAGCAUAGUGAUCCGGUGUUUCCGUAUGGAAGGGACAUCGCUCAAAGGAUAAAAGGUACUCCGGGGAUAACAGGCUGAUCCCUCCCAAGA
This 2464-nucleotide ribosomal RNA is filed under the name human gut metagenome. Its description in RNAcentral is "bacterial LSU rRNA". It matches the Rfam family "Bacterial large subunit ribosomal RNA", at positions 14 to 2497 of the family's 2925-position model. The record is from RNAcentral.